AUGGCGACCGGCGCACGGGUGAGUAACACGUAUCCAACCUGCCGAUGACUCGGGGAUAGCCUUUCGAAAGAAAGAUUAAUACCCGAUGGCAUAGUUCUUCCGCAUGGUGGAACUAUUAAAGAAUUUCGGUCAUCGAUGGGGAUGCGUUCCAUUAGGUUGUUGGCGGGGUAACGGCCCACCAAGCCUUCGAUGGAUAGGGGUUCUGAGAGGAAGGUCCCCCACAUUGGAACUGAGACACGGCCCAGACUCCUACGGGAGGCAGCAUG
Molecule: ribosomal RNA, 266 nt
Filed under: uncultured bacterium
Lineage: Bacteria
Description: partial 16S ribosomal RNA
Rfam family: Bacterial small subunit ribosomal RNA
Source: RNAcentral